UACGAAGGGGGCUAGCGUUGCUCGGAAUCACUGGGCGUAAAGCGCACGUAGGCGGCUUUCUAAGUCAGGGGUGAAAUCCUGGAGCUCAACUCCAGAACUGCCUUUGAUACUGGAGAGCUCGAGUCCGGAAGAGGUGAGUGGAACUCCGAGUGUAAAGGUGAAAUUCGUAGAUAUUCGGAAGAACACCAGUGGCGAAGGCGGCUCACUGGUCCGGUACUGACGCUGAGGUGCGAAAGCGUGGGGAGCAAACAGG
RNAcentral lists this ribosomal RNA (253 nucleotides) under uncultured bacterium. RNAcentral describes it as "partial 16S ribosomal RNA". It matches the Rfam family "Bacterial small subunit ribosomal RNA", at positions 524 to 776 of the family's 1533-position model. The record is from RNAcentral.